This 367-nucleotide unclassified non-coding RNA is filed under the name Hevea brasiliensis (rubber tree). Lineage: Eukaryota; Viridiplantae; Streptophyta; Magnoliopsida; Malpighiales; Euphorbiaceae. The record is from RNAcentral.
GAACCAAUGCUCUUAAGGCCAAGAACGACACCGACGCCAAUGAUGUGGCCGACACUGCCACAUGCCAAAGUAUCAGCAAGGGUGAAACCCGCUGGGUCACCCGUCUGUAACCCGGAGUCCCUCGCCUCCAGCUUCAGCCCCGCCGUUGAUUUUCUGUUUGCGGAUGGAGCCAAUCCGAACCGUCCAGCGAACAGCAUCAGGCUUGUCGAUAUCACCAUUAUCAAGUUGGUGGGUGAGCCAAUGUAAUCACCACAACGAGCACUGAGAGCGCCGCCGCCCCUCCGCCUCAGCGGUUGCACCGCCACCAGGCUGCGAACCGGAGCCACUGAAACAGUGGGCCUGAGCCCAUUAAACUGAGGGAUCGAAG